This 374-nucleotide unclassified non-coding RNA is filed under the name uncultured fungus. RNAcentral describes it as "partial contains 5.8S ribosomal RNA and internal transcribed spacer 2". The stretch from base 1 to 133 matches the Rfam family "5.8S ribosomal RNA", at positions 22 to 154 of the family's 154-position model. The record is from RNAcentral. Lineage: Eukaryota; Fungi.
UGGCUCUGGCAUCGAUGAAGAACGCAGCAAAAUGCGAAAAGUAAUGUGAAUUGCAGAAUUCAGUGAACCAUCGAAUCUUUGAACGCACAUUGCGCCUGCUAGCAUUCUAGUGGGCAUGCCUGUUCGAGCGUCUUUAAGACCACCAAAAGGCCCUGUUCUUGGCCUGGCUUUGGCUGCUAGCGAGCGAGCUUCCGGGCUCCCUGCUACGGCUCAAACUCAAGGGCAGAAACGGCGCAGCCUCGCACUAAAUAGCAAUCUAGUGUCCUGACCAGCGCCGGCCUUCUUGCCGUCUCGUAGACAGAAGCCCCCCCCCCCUUCUGUCUACCUCUCUUUUCCAUCAGUUGGACCUCGAAUCAGGUAGGAGUACCCGCUGA